This 633-nucleotide long non-coding RNA is filed under the name Homo sapiens (human). RNAcentral's name for it is "HSALNT0310975". The record is from RNAcentral. Lineage: Eukaryota; Metazoa; Chordata; Mammalia; Primates; Hominidae.
GGCAGUAUGAGAAGGGGUUGAUGGAAGCUUACUGACUGGUCAAGGCAGUGCAAGAAGUUUAACCUGUCUGGAAAUAUGGGGACAAGAACUGGAAAGGGCAGUCUGUGCAUGAAGAUUCCAGGAGAAGCCUGAUGAUGGAAAACCUUAAAAUCACAUCGAGUACAGAUGGGGUUUCACCAUGUUCGCCAGGAUGGUCUCGAUCUCCUGACCUCGUGAUCUGUCCACCUCUGCCUCCCAAAGUGCUGAGAUUACAGGUGUGAGCCACCACUCCCAGCCUUUGUCAUCAUUUCAGAUAGGGUGAAGGAAUGGUUUAAGUCGCCUCCAAGGCCAUGGAAGUUGAACCACUUUCAGACUAUGUCCUUGGCUUAUGGGGAGAUUUUUCUAAUCUCAGUUCAUUGGUACUUUCAAAGUUACUUCCGGAUUACAGUGCAUUCACUCCUGUCCUAUGAAGGCUGAAUCAUUCACAUCAGAACAGUCACUUGAUUUUCAGUAGAGAAUCAACAAGCAUUUAUGAUGCAGAUGUUAUUCACAUUGUCCUCAAGUGACCAUCAAACUUGCUUUUAUUCCUUAAUGGAAAAGUGUUAUGAAACAUAGAAAAAAGUUCUUGGCAUGGCAUGAUAUGAGCAAGAAUGC